GUGCAACUAAGUCUCCCACUACAUAUAGCUGCUAUCUUCAUGAAAGAGAAAAGGUCAGUGGAAGGUGGACAGUCCCAUGGAAGAGAGAAAAACAGAAGGAGUCCUGCAGGGUACACCCCCGCGUGUACCUUCGAACCACAGAUAGAGCAGAGUAGAUGCAAAUGAACAAGGACAUCUUUUGGGUAAGGAGCAAUAUCAUGCAAUUUUAAGUACUGCUCCAAUACCAUUCUUACCUAACAGGUUAUAACUGACCUUCUACAGAAGGUCUGUCACGGUAGGUGCUCUGGUGAGGUAACCAGAGCAUUCCACAGAUGACAGUUAUGGCCUUCCAUAACAACAGAGAGAAGCAAAGGCUGCUUUAUACUACCAUCUCAGGUAGGGAAGCUCACUUCAUCCUACAAUCAUCUCCAGAGGACAGCAUCACUAUUAACUUUAAAGAUGGAGAAACUGACCACACAGAGGUUAUGCGAUUUGCUCCCUAAACUGCACAGCUACUAAGCAGCAAAGCGUGUCAACCCCAAAGCUUAGCCUGAGCAAGGCUUAUGAUCAGAGUCGGCAAGAUUAUCAAAGCUACUGCACAUGCUGAGGGCACACAGUGGCUUUAGGAGAGAAAAACUCCAGAGGCCCAAGCUGGAGCUCUUUCACAACACAAAUUGAGGUGUGGACUCAUACCUACCCAAUGUUGCUGCCCAAGCUCUGAAUUCCUGAACUUCGCUACCCUGUGUUCCACUUCAAAACUCCACUCAUGGGAACCACGUACAACUUCACAUAAACUCAGAGAAGGCAAAUUGACUUAUCUGUAACGUCUCAGAGAGCUUCCAUGGGAAACAAAAUUAUAUGUCUUAAUCAUUACCCACAACACAUUCCCCAUCAGUGCUCAAUGCUAGAUAAAUACAUUUCUUCAAUUGUGCCUUUGUGUCUGGUGUCUUCCAAGCCAUUAAAACUGAUAUUUGGGGGGGGAAAUUGUCUCUAAUUUGUGAAACUUGGAAUCCACUUUGGUGUAUGAAAUAUAAAUACGCUCGAAAAUGAAAACACU
This 1036-nucleotide long non-coding RNA is filed under the name Mustela putorius furo (domestic ferret). RNAcentral describes it as "lncRNA (ENSMPUG00000027182.1)". The record is from RNAcentral. Lineage: Eukaryota; Metazoa; Chordata; Mammalia; Carnivora; Mustelidae.